AGAGUUUGAUCCUGGCUCAGGAUGAACGCUAGCGGCAGGCCUAAUACAUGCAAGUCGAACGGUAAGGUCUCUUCGGAGAUACACGAGUGGCGCACGGGUGAGUAACGCGUAUGCAACCUACCUAUAACUGGGGAAUAGCCCUUCGAAAGGAGGAUUAAUACCCCAUAAUGUUUCCGAGAGGCAUCUCUCGGUUCCUAAAACUCCGGUGGUUAUAGAUGGGCAUGCGUGACAUUAGUUUGUUGGUGAGGUAACGGCUCACCAAGACUUCGAUGUCUAGGGGGUCUGAGAGGAUGAUCCCCCACACUGGUACUGAGACACGGACCAGACUCCUACGGGAGGCAGCAGUAAGGAAUAUUGGGCAAUGGAGGAAACUCUGACCCAGCCAUGCCGCGUGCAGGAUUGACAGCUCUAGUAGUUGUAAACUGCUUUUAUAUGGGAAGAAAAGCACCUACGUGUAGGUGUCUGACGGUACCAUAAGAAUAAGGACCGGCUAACUCCGUGCCAGCAGCCGCGGUAAUACGGAGGGUCCAAGCGUUAUCCGGAUUUAUUGGGUUUAAAGGGUGUGUAGGCGGAAAAAUUAGUCAGUGGUGAAAUCCUGCAGCUUAACUGCAGAACUGCCAUUGAUACUGUUUUUCUUGAAUAUAGUUGA
This 649-nucleotide ribosomal RNA is filed under the name uncultured bacterium. RNAcentral's name for it is "bacterial SSU rRNA". It matches the Rfam family "Bacterial small subunit ribosomal RNA", at positions 8 to 655 of the family's 1533-position model. The record is from RNAcentral.